GGGAGGAAUGACCUCCCCUAUGUGACCUCACAGGUGGCCAACAUUAGCGAGAAAUAUGAAACGAUGGACGUGAGAGACUACAGGGAGCACAGGUGAAACACGGCAGGUUCACAGAAACGUGUGACGUCGAAAGAGACCGAGUUCCCACAAGUUCACUAUUUGUCCUGUCCACGUGGAACUGAAGUGCUAGUAAGCAGCAAAAUGGCCACAAAGCAGCUAGUCUAAUGGAAAAGGAAAGGUAAUUCACAUCGAUUACCUACUACGGGACCUCAGAAUGUGACUGUAUUUGAAGAUAGAGCCUUCAAAGAGGUAACCGAGUGAAAAUAAGGUCAUUAGGAUGGGUCCUAAUCCACGAUGACUGGUGUCCUUAUAAGAAGAAGAGAUUAAGACACAGAGAGGGAAGACCAUGUGAGGACACAGAGGGAAGAUGGCCAUCCACGAGGCAGGAGAGAAGCCUCGGAAGAAACCAGUGCUGCCCACACCUUGAGCUUGAACUCCAGCCUCCAGAACUAUGCAAUCCAGAGAUAAAAGAGGAAUUCGCUUAAGGCAGAGUUGGGAAAAACCCAGAACUUCAGACUCAGUCUGGUGGUAUUCGCUCAACACUAUGCUUCUGCCCACAGAUGAAGAAAUGAAGGUUCAGGAAAACAAACUGCUGUGCCCCUUGUAGGACAAUGUCUUUAGUGUAUGUGUGUUGUGUGUGUGUGUGUGUGUGUGUAUAAAGGGGAGGGUGGAAGAAAGUGGCUACAACAAAACUCUUCCGACUACUUGUCUUCUUUUUUUAAACCACUGUUAAACCUUAUUGGGACAGGAUAUUUAUUCUCAAAAUUCGGAAAGUUAGUUUUGCCAAUACGUAACUGAACCAAAUCCACUGUCAAUAUGUACAUACAUUAAAAUAAAACACAUUUGUGUGUGUCUGUGAUAACCGCUUAAAGUAUCUGGAAACUUUGCAGAACAGUUAUUUAAAUGAAGAGAGAGCUUAGUAGUCAUUUAAUUAUAAUUUUUGUUAAAUAGUGACUCAUAAGUUUCAAGCAUAGUCACAAUUUCUUAAAAAUUUAAUGAGGGAAUAUAUUAGUUUGUAGUUCCCCCAAUCUGGCCUCCCAACACUUUUCUUGAAACGUCAUCUCUAACCUGUGUUUCGUCUUCAGCUUCCAUGUGGUUACUCAUUUAUUACUAAGUUGCAAAGUUCCUGUUUGACUUUUCACCUCAGGAGACCAAUUGUGGGGCAAUGGAGUUCCACGAGAAAUCCCUAUAGAAUCUAACCGUGUGUCCAGGUGUGAGACAGUGCCUUACUUUUCAAGAUAUUAAUCAUAUCUUUUCCUAGAGCCUGAUACAUAGUAGUUGAGAAGUAAAUGUUCCUCCUCUAUUUGAAGUCCUUAAUAAUUCUCUUUUACGUUCAGAGUAAGACUAAUACACAACCUCUCCAUUUAAGAACUGCUUGCCUUUCUAAUUAUUGCCCCCGAAUGCUUAGGCCCUGAGCCGUAUUGAACUGCUUGGAGAUUCUCAAACAAGUGACAUUCUUUCUUACCUCUUUGCCUUUGCAAAUGCUACAACCAAACACUGGAGUGAAAUUUUUCCUCUCCACUCUCCUGACUCUACUUUGAAACUUCUUUGUGGAAUAUUCUAGGAUCUCUCCAGGUUGGGUUAGACUUCCUCCAAUCCUCCUGGUACUCUCCAAACACGCACACACACACAGACCUGUGCUCCCAUAUCGUCUUGUUUAAACUCUAAUCAUACAUGUCACUGAAUUCUGUUCAUUUUAAAAUACUUUCUGGCUCCUCUGACAAGGAGAAUAGGGAUCCAUUCUGGCCAAGCUGGCCCACACAUAACGGUGCUUACUGUAUUUACGUUACGUGAAUGAAUAGCUUGCACUCUACAACUCCUCAGGAGUGAGAAAGGGAGUUAACUGAGGUAUACACCAUUCCAGGGAACCCUUAUGUGAAGUUUGGAAGGGUAGAUGAGGUCCUCUGAAAGGCCACGCAAUUCCUAGACCAUGGCUUAAUCAUUUGUUUAUUAGGAGGGCUUUCCAAGGGAACAUGAGUUGCCUCUUCUGACUACUCUCUGACAAUGGGAAAAAAUAUCAGCAGUCAUCCAGCCUGGGCCCUUUCUCAGCAAAUCCCAUCUGUUGGAGACUCCUACAACUACAAACCUUCUUUUAAUGUGGGUCAGGGCAACGAACUGGGCUGAGGGAAUAGAAUAAUGAAUCCAUAGUUUCUGAUUUCCCGCAAUGAGCAAACCAAGUCCGAAAGCCUUAACUGACAACUUGGCAGAGACCUUAGAUGUGGUCUUUUCUUCCAAGGUGUUAAGCCAGGUGUUACUUUAACUGCAGACUUGAGAGUCCACAUCUGAGAAAACUUUGAUACAAUUAAAAUGAUGAAACUUAGAAGCUUUCCUCAUGUCGUACCAGUGCAAAAUCAAUAGACAAACAGGCACAGAUCAGAUAAAAGUGAUUUCUCAGAGGACAUGGCUUCCUGUCUUUUUGACUUACUAGCAUGUAAGUAAUUGUUAUUUUAAAGGAAAAAGAGAAGUUUAGUUUCUCGCAGAGAAGCUGUCUAACCUAGCGGGUAGGAAUGAAGGUUUUGGAGCAAGCCUUUCUGGAGUUGAUUCCUGGCUUCAUCAGCUGGGUGUUAUUGGGCAAUUUGCUUCAUCUCUCUGUGCUUCAGUUUCAUUGCUAUAGAUACAUAGGCACAUGCAUACAUAUACAUGCUCUUAUGUCACAGUACUAGUUAAAUGAUUUAAUACACAAGAAACACCUGGAACAUUGUCUGAUGAAUAGGAAACACUCAAUGAAAGUUAGUUAUUAUUAUGAUCCUAAUGAAACAAAUAUUAUUAAUGAGCUAUGUCACCUUUGCUGUUUGUAUUUCUCCCAUUACAAUGAAAGGUCUUGAGAUACAUUUGGCCACCCCUGUGCUGGAGAAGGAUUUCUGAACUCAACUGAUCCUACCUGUUCUAAUGAUGUUUACUUUCACCUCAUAUUAAAUAAUAAGAGCAUUAUGAAGUUAAAAAUCAUCCUUGUGCAAUCACAUUGAUUGCAACUUUUGUUUUCCAUGAAGGGGAAAGACAGCAUGUUUGUGUAACAGUCUAUUGGGAGUUAUUACUCUCCACACUGUUGAGGACCAUAUCCCAAUUGCUUUUUAAUUUGCUUCCCGUGUUAUGAUCUUGCAAUCAGUUUUCUUAGCAAGACAACUAAGGUAAUAUGUGCUAAUGUGACAAGCGGAAAAGAUACGCAUUGUACUCUAUUGAAAAUAGAGGCAGAGUAUAUAGCUAUUGAGUAUGUUUAAUAAAUUCAAGCAUUGAACUAUGUUCAACGUCCAAGAUGUGUUUAAAGUCUUUGAAUAGAAAAUAAGUUAAGCAUUUUCAUUGGACGCAUGAAGUAUGAUAGUUAUUCUGGAGAAAUAAGUUGCUUUCUUCCCAAACCAUUUAUCAAUGUCCUUUGGGGAUUCCAGACAGAGAAAAUGUGUCACUGACAGGCCCUAUCAGAGGUAGGAGGCUCAUUCCUAGCACCUGCAAAGAAGACUUUAGAUCUUUAAGCAAGCUCAGGUUGCAAGGAUGGAGAAAUGGGGUCACGGAGCAGAAGCCCUCUUUACAAGCUUCACUUUGAUAAUCUCAAAACACCAUCACCAGCUGAGCCUCCCACUGUCAAAACUCUGCCUCUUUUGCUCUUAAUUUAUUUUGGUGUCAUAGAUGACUUUGCAAAUUUGAUGGAAAUUAUAAAUGCUCCUCCCAGAAAAAUGCACACACACACACACACACAUACUGCAAAAUUAUGCACAUUCACUUGUGGUUUCCGUGGAUGCUCUGAUGUAAAAAUUCCUUCUUAAUGGAGUGAUUUUAUAUUAUCUUCAGUAAAUGAAUAUUUGAAAACA
Molecule: long non-coding RNA, 3863 nt
Organism: Equus caballus (horse)
Lineage: Eukaryota; Metazoa; Chordata; Mammalia; Perissodactyla; Equidae
Source: RefSeq, a predicted model, not a curated record